UUUGUGGGGUGCUCGAGUGGCGAACGGGUGAGUAACACGUGAGUAACCUGCCCUUGACUUUGGGAUAACUUCAGGAAACUGGGUCUAAUACCGGAUAGGAGCCAUCUUUAGUGUGGUGGUUGGAAAGUUUUUUCGGUGUAGGAUGAGCUCGCGGCCUAUCAGCUUGUUGGUGGGGUAAUGGCCUACCAAGGCGGCGACGGGUAGCCGGCCUGAGAGGGUGGACGGCCACAUUGGGACUGAGAUACGGCCCAG
RNAcentral lists this ribosomal RNA (252 nucleotides) under uncultured Actinomycetales bacterium. RNAcentral's name for it is "partial 16S ribosomal RNA". It matches the Rfam family "Bacterial small subunit ribosomal RNA", at positions 79 to 334 of the family's 1533-position model. The record is from RNAcentral. Lineage: Bacteria; Bacillati; Actinomycetota; Actinomycetes; Actinomycetales.